AUGCAGAAUGCAUCUAAGAAGAGAAAACAAGAGGAAAGAAAAAAACAACCUGGGAAUAGAGGUUCUUGGAAGAAAAACCUGGCAGCGGGGGGGGGAUUAAAAAGAGAGACGGGGGCGCAAUUCCCCAUAGAGGAAUGCACCUCAAGAAGGCAAAGAAAAGAAAAGGAAGAAUCAGAGAAUCUCGGUGACACGCGAACCGAACAACCAGAAGGGAACCGAGCACGAACAGAAGAGGAAAGGUGGGGAUUCGAACCGAAAGGAAGCUUACCCUACGUCCCUGCCACCCCGAAGCCGUCCACCGCCGCCGACGACGACGAGGAGGAGACGAAAAGCGGCACAGCCUUUAGGCACCGGCACCGCCACGCUCCAGUCCGCUCCCGGUAUUUACCAGCACCGCCGCCGCCGCCGCAUUAA
Molecule: ribosomal RNA, 414 nt
Filed under: Triticum aestivum (bread wheat)
Lineage: Eukaryota; Viridiplantae; Streptophyta; Magnoliopsida; Poales; Poaceae
Description: partial small subunit ribosomal RNA
Source: RNAcentral